Small nucleolar RNA from Spea bombifrons (plains spadefoot toad), 76 nucleotides. RefSeq annotates it as small nucleolar RNA SNORD121A. The transcript has a single exon. Lineage: Eukaryota; Metazoa; Chordata; Amphibia; Anura; Pelobatidae. The record is from RefSeq and is a predicted model, not a curated record.
CCCCAGAACGCGGUGAUUUCUCCAAGCACAUAGCCGAUGCACUGUGUGGAAACUACCAUUUCUGAGCGUUCUGGGC